GGGUGUGUCGAGGGGAUUUGAUUCAUUCAGAUUUCCAAUUCCUCCUUUCUUUCUAACAUCCUCUCCCUAUUGUCCAAUUAGUCUCUUCUUUUUUUUGUUAGAAUAAAUUCAAAAAUAGUAAGGAUAAAUUUAAUUUUAUGACAAGAGCCUAGGAAGAGAAUCAAAGAAGACAAGGAGAGAAGAAAGAUAGGGAUAGGAAGGCUAGGA
Molecule: long non-coding RNA, 207 nt
Filed under: Elaeis guineensis (African oil palm)
Lineage: Eukaryota; Viridiplantae; Streptophyta; Magnoliopsida; Arecales; Arecaceae
Description: long non-coding RNA (EGUI_LNC064346)
Source: RNAcentral